RNAcentral lists this ribosomal RNA (405 nucleotides) under uncultured bacterium. RNAcentral's name for it is "partial 16S ribosomal RNA". It matches the Rfam family "Bacterial small subunit ribosomal RNA", at positions 28 to 526 of the family's 1533-position model. The record is from RNAcentral.
GAUGAACGCUGGCGGCGUGCCUAAUACAUGCAAGUCGAGCGAAGCGGGGACGGGUGAGUAACACGUGGGUAACUUCCUAUAAGACUGGGAUAAUUUUGGGAAACCGGAGCUAUACCGGAUAAUUCCCACGGGUUCCGCGCUGCAUUAGCUAGUUGGUAAGGUAACGGCUUACCAAGGCAACGAUGCAUAGCCGACCUGAGAGGGUGAUCGGCCACACUGGAACUGAGACACGGUCCAGACUCCUACGGGAGGCAGCAGUGGGGAAUCUUCCGCAAUGGGCGAAAGCCUGACGGAGCAACGCCGCGUGAGUGAUGAAGGUCUUCGGAUCGUAAAACUCUGUUAUUAGGGAAGCGGUACCUAAUCAGAAAGCCACGGCUAACUACGUGCCAGCAGCCGCGGUAAUAC